CGGUAUAUGCGGAAGUGUGCACAAUCUCGCCCAUGCGCACGCACAGUCCGGUGCGAGCGAUCCCAGCCCCUCGCAAGUGCCGUGCUAGAGUGGGCAUCCAGCCUGGAAGGAGGAUGCCUGCGCAGCACAUCUGGCCACCGGUGCGCCUCCAGAGGUCCAGGCUACCCUAUGCCUGCUCUACGCACGGCAACCAUCAGGCCUCUGCACAGCCCAGUUCGCCCUGUGCCAGCACUCUCCUUGUACAGGGCUGCUAUUACCAUCCAGCCAGGAUGGGUUGUGCAGGAGGUGCGCUCCAGACCUCCAGUGCUUACCCAUGGCCCAGUGCACCCUGUUCCCUCUCCUUGCACUAGCCCUGAGGUGCGUGUCUCCAGUCUGGUGCCUCCAAAGCCAGCACUACGCACCAGGCUUCCAUUGCGUCAUCCCAGUCCAGUACGUCCUGUUUCCAUUCCUUGCUCUAGCCUUGGGGUGCAUGUCUCCAGUCUGGUACCUCCAGUACCAGCCCCACACACUAGGCUUCCAGUGCGUCAGCCCAGUCCAACUCGUCCUGUUCCUGCUCCUCGCACUAGCCCUGAGGUGUAUGUUUCCAGUCUGGCACAUCCAGUACCAGCACCACGCAUCAGGCUUCCAGUGCGUCAGCCCAGUCCCGAACUUCCGACGACAGUGCCCAGUCCAGAGUGUCCGUCCAGAGUGUCCGACGACAGUGCCCAGUCCAGAGUGUCCGACGACAGUGCCCAGUCCAGAGUGUCCGACGACAGUGCCCAGUCCAGAGUGUCCAGCAACAGUGCUCCGUCCAGAGUACCCGGCAACAGUACCCCGUCCAGAGUAUCCGGCAACAGUGUGCAGUCCGGAACCGAGUGAGACGGCCUACAGUCCGGAACCGGCGCAGCCAAAGUCGCCCUUCAGCCCAAGGUCUCCAGCGACGUGCAUCAGCCCGAGGUCUCCAGCAACGCGCAUCAGCCUGAGGCCUUCAGCGAUGCGCCAUAGCCCAGAUACUUCGGGAAGGGUAAUAAUGAAUUAUUUAGCGGGGGUGGACAGGUUAGGUGGGGGAGUAAGGCCGGAGCUUGAGCCACCUCCAUUGUAGGUGGGUUGGGAGGGGGGUGUAGCACAGGAACCGUCGGUGACGGUGGCCACCCUCCCUUCCCUCUCUUUAGUUUGGGAUUCUUUUUGUUUUGGGGUUAUUUUUUGUGUUUUUUGUGCGAGGUGCCUUCGGGGUCUGCAUCCUUUGGGGGGG
This 1231-nucleotide long non-coding RNA is filed under the name Salmo salar (Atlantic salmon). RNAcentral describes it as "lncRNA (ENSSSAG00000110399.1)". The record is from RNAcentral. Lineage: Eukaryota; Metazoa; Chordata; Actinopteri; Salmoniformes; Salmonidae.